RNAcentral lists this ribosomal RNA (253 nucleotides) under uncultured bacterium. Its description in RNAcentral is "partial 16S ribosomal RNA". It matches the Rfam family "Bacterial small subunit ribosomal RNA", at positions 524 to 776 of the family's 1533-position model. The record is from RNAcentral.
UACGUAGGGUGCAGGCGUUAAUCGGAAUUACUGGGCGUAAAGGGCGCGUAGGCGGCGUGUCAAGUCAGGCGUGAAAGCCCCGGGCUCAACCUGGUAACCGCGCUUGAGACUGGCAUGCUCGAGUUCGGGAGAGGAUGGUGGAAUUCCCAGUGUAGAGGUGAAAUUCGUAGAUAUUGGGAAGAACACCGAUGGCGAAGGCAGCCAUCUGGACCGACACUGACGCUGAGGCGCGAAAGCGUGGGGAGCGAACAGG